This 421-nucleotide ribosomal RNA is filed under the name uncultured Chryseobacterium sp. RNAcentral describes it as "bacterial SSU rRNA". It matches the Rfam family "Bacterial small subunit ribosomal RNA", at positions 356 to 774 of the family's 1533-position model. The record is from RNAcentral. Lineage: Bacteria; Pseudomonadati; Bacteroidota; Flavobacteriia; Flavobacteriales; Weeksellaceae.
GAGUAAUAUUAGUCAAUGGGCGCGAGCCUGAACCAGCCAAGUAGCGUGAAGGAUGACUGCCCUAUGGGUUGUAAACUUCUUUUGUAUAGGGAUAAACCUAGAUACGUGUAUCUAGCUGAAGGUACUAUACGAAUAAGCACCGGCUAACUCCGUGCCAGCAGCCGCGGUAAUACGGAGGGUGCAAGCGUUAUCCGGAUUUAUUGGGUUUAAAGGGUCCGUAGGCGGAUGUGUAAGUCAGUGGUGAAAUCUCACAGCUUAACUGUGAAACUGCCAUUGAUACUGCAUGUCUUGAGUGUUGUUGAAGUAGCUGGAAUAAGUAGUGUAGCGGUGAAAUGCAUAGAUAGUACUUAGAACACCAAUAGCGAAGGCAGGUUACUAAGCGACAACUGACGCUGAUGGACGAAAGCGUGGGGAGCGAACA